Molecule: long non-coding RNA, 191 nt
Organism: Pterocles gutturalis (yellow-throated sandgrouse)
Lineage: Eukaryota; Metazoa; Chordata; Aves; Pterocliformes; Pteroclidae
Exons: 3
Source: RefSeq, a predicted model, not a curated record
AGAGAGCUCGAUGCCACAGCAACAAUAUUGGCUAACCGGCAAGAUGAAAGUGAGCAGUCUAGGAAAAAACUUAUUGAGCAAAGUCGGGAGUUCAAGAAAAACACUCCAGAGGACCUGCGCAAACAGGUAGCUCCAUUGCUGAAGAGUUUCCAGGGAGAGAUUGACGCAUUGGGUAAAAGAAGCAAAGAAGC